This 213-nucleotide long non-coding RNA is filed under the name Lathyrus oleraceus (garden pea). RNAcentral's name for it is "Pisum sativum (pea) long non-coding RNA (PSAT_LNC034151)". The record is from RNAcentral. Lineage: Eukaryota; Viridiplantae; Streptophyta; Magnoliopsida; Fabales; Fabaceae.
UUUUUCUGCUUCAUGUUAUUUUCAUUGUUGCAAAUGGAAUUAACAUGAAAACAGGUUGUUGGAGAGAUAGAGUUUUAAAAGUUUUUGAUUUUGAUUUGUUUUAAUUUUUAAGGAUGCAUGCCAUGUGUCUAGAGAAGAUUGGUUAGUUUUGAAAUUUUAAAAAUGACUUUGUUGUCUCUCUCUCUCUCUCCAUGAAUGCAUUGCCCCUUCCUU